CCUUCUCGGAAUGUUUAUCUUCAUAUUCUAUUGUAUAUGCAAGAAAGAUGCCAGAGAUGUCAUUUGCUCGUGUUUAUGUAACCAAAAGAAAGGGGACGACAAUAUAAGUUGUGAAAACCAAUAAAAGUUCAAGUUCUGGUAAUGAAACAGACGUUGGAACAGCAGAGACGAGAACAUAAUUAAAAAUAAGAAAAACCAAUCUCUUUGAAUAUCUUCUUUUCUUCUUAUAUUACAUUAAACAUACUUGUGUACAAGUGAACUUCAUUUUUAUCUAUCAAUACAACACUAUGAAACUUAGACACUUUAUAAACCACAAUGUAAUUUAAACCUCCUCAUUUUUCUGUAACACACAAAAUCUAACAUCAUGUGAUUUGAUUUGUAAUUCUAUAAAUAUUUUCUAACUGCUAAUUUCACUUUUAAUUUUCAAUAUAAUCUUUAACUUUUAUUAAUGAAGAAAUAAAUGUGGUUUCUUACUACAA
Octopus bimaculoides (California two-spot octopus) is the source of this 479-nucleotide long non-coding RNA. The record is from RefSeq and is a predicted model, not a curated record. Lineage: Eukaryota; Metazoa; Mollusca; Cephalopoda; Octopoda; Octopodidae.